UACGGAGGAUCCAAGCGUUAUCCGGAUUUAUUGGGUGUAAAGGGUGCGUAGGCGGGUAAUUAAGUCAGCGGUGAAAGCUUGCGGCUCAACCGUAAAAUUGCCGUUGAAACUGGUUAACUUGAGUGUAGAUGAGGUGGGUGGAAUUCGUGGUGUAGCGGUGAAAUGCUUAGAUAUCAAGAAGGACUCCAAUGGCGUAGGCAGCUCACUGGGCUACAACUGACGCUGAGGCACGAAAGUGCGGGGAUCAAACAGG
This 253-nucleotide ribosomal RNA is filed under the name uncultured prokaryote. RNAcentral's name for it is "partial 16S ribosomal RNA". It matches the Rfam family "Bacterial small subunit ribosomal RNA", at positions 524 to 776 of the family's 1533-position model. The record is from RNAcentral.